GAUGAACGCUGGCGGCGUGCCUAAUACAUGCAAGUCGAGCGAACAGACGAGGAGCUUGCUCCUCUGACGUUAGCGGCGGACGGGUGAGUAACACGUGGAUAACCUACCUAUAAGACUGGGAUAACUUCGGGAAACCGGAGCUAAUACCGGAUAAUAUAUUGAACCGCAUGGUUCAAUAGUGAAAGACGGUUUUGCUGUCACUUAUAGAUGGAUCCGCGCCGCAUUAGCUAGUUGGUAAGGUAACGGCUUACCAAGGCAACGAUGCGUAGCCGACCUGAGAGGGUGAUCGGCCCCAAUGGAACUGAGACACGGUCCAGAACCCUACGGGAGGGAGCAGUAGGGAAUUUUCCGCAAUGGGCGAAAGCCUGACGGAGCAACGCCGCGUGAGUGAUGAAGGUCUUCGGAUCGUAAAACUCUGUUAUUAGGGAAGAACAAAUGUGUAAGUAACUAUGCACGUCUUGACGGUACCUAAUCAGAAAGCCACGGCUAACUACGUG
This 497-nucleotide ribosomal RNA is filed under the name uncultured bacterium. RNAcentral's name for it is "partial 16S ribosomal RNA". It matches the Rfam family "Bacterial small subunit ribosomal RNA", at positions 28 to 507 of the family's 1533-position model. The record is from RNAcentral.